UUUCGUGACGAUGAUGAUAAAUGUGAUCCCAGCUCAUUAUGAGACCUUCGAAAAUUCGUUAGGUCUGGGAAUAUAUCUUUCCACAUUUGUCUGAGCCCUAAA
Small nucleolar RNA from Arachis duranensis, 102 nucleotides. NCBI's taxonomy places the organism in Eukaryota, Viridiplantae, Streptophyta, Magnoliopsida, Fabales, Fabaceae. The record is from RefSeq and is a predicted model, not a curated record.